Molecule: unclassified non-coding RNA, 945 nt
Filed under: Hevea brasiliensis (rubber tree)
Lineage: Eukaryota; Viridiplantae; Streptophyta; Magnoliopsida; Malpighiales; Euphorbiaceae
Source: RNAcentral
GUUUGGUAAAAAGUUCUCUCUUCAUCUCCACCUGCCACCUGCUUCUUCUCGUUUUCGCAGUUUUUCUCAACUUCCGCUCUCUAGGCUAAAGAACCAUGGCAGCAUGGACGGCGGCGGCUCGUCAAGCCACGAAUCUCACUGGCCUUUCCUUUCCAAGAGUUGCUGCAGUUCCUCAAGCCGCUUCCCUCAUUCAUCGGCGCGGUCUAGCUGGUGGUGGCGAUCAUCAUGGACCUCCCAAGGUCAACUUCUGGCAGGACCCUAUGAACCCAUCUAAAUGGAAAGAAGAGCAUUUUGUGAUCGUCUCUUUAACUGGAUGGGGAUUACUUUUCUUUGGAGGUUACAAGUUCUUCACUAGAGGCAAGAAAGACAAGAAAGAAGAGAAGGUUGGAGAAGCUGGGCACUAGGUUUGGAACGAUGCCCAAAUAUAUCUAGAAGGAAAUCCGGGAUGAGGAUGAUUUUCAUUGGUUGUCAAGACCCUCCAGUUUGUGACAGUUUUAGUUGUACAUGACUCCCAAGUGGGUGAUGAAUAUUGGCUUUUUCUUGUUGCUGUUUUGAUACUUCAAUGUAACCGAUACCUUUUCCUACAUUCUAAAUAAUAAGUAGGACACUUUCUGGUAGACACCUUGAUAAAUCUUCACUUGCAGAUAAUUAUGCAUCAUUGCAGCAUGUGGGAUUGGUUAGGUGUCACUACCAACUGCAGUUUCUUCUUCAUCAUAAUACUGCUUCUUAAACUCACAGUUUGGAGCUUUUCCUCACUCCUUUGCCAAUUAAAUUUCACCCUGAUAUAUUGAGAAAUUCUCUUAAACAAAUCCUGACCUUGAUCACUAUGAAUCUUGUCGAAAAUGAUGGAUUGUUUAGAAUUUUCAUGAAUCAUGAUGUACCAAUAUGUGACAUUAUAUCUACCUGUAUCAUUAGACAGCCUUGUUUGUUAAAUGUGCUUUGCUU